RNAcentral lists this ribosomal RNA (253 nucleotides) under uncultured bacterium. RNAcentral describes it as "partial 16S ribosomal RNA". It matches the Rfam family "Bacterial small subunit ribosomal RNA", at positions 524 to 776 of the family's 1533-position model. The record is from RNAcentral.
GACAGAGGGUGCAAACGUUGUUCGGAAUUACUGGGCGUAAAGCGCACGUAGGCGGAUUGUUAAGUCAGGGGUGAAAUCCUGGAGCUCAACUCCAGAACUGCCUUUGAUACUGGCGAUCUCGAGUCCGGGAGAGGUGAGUGGAACUGCGAGUGUAGAGGUGAAAUUCGUAGAUAUUCGCAAGAACACCAGUGGCGAAGGCGGCUCACUGGCCCGGUACUGACGCUGAGGUGCGAAAGCGUGGGGAGCAAACAGG